This 74-nucleotide transfer RNA is filed under the name Danio rerio (zebrafish). RNAcentral describes it as "tRNA-Asn (GTT) (tRNA-Asn-GTT-52-1)". It matches the Rfam family "tRNA". Rfam says of the family: Transfer RNA (tRNA) molecules are approximately 80 nucleotides in length. Lineage: Eukaryota; Metazoa; Chordata; Actinopteri; Cypriniformes; Danionidae. The record is from Rfam by way of RNAcentral. RNAcentral also lists the same sequence under 2 other names.
GUCUCUGUGGCGCAAUCGGUUAGCGCGUUCGGCUGUUAAUUGAAAGGUUGGUGGUUCAAGCCCACCCAGGGACG